CACGUAGGGGGCGAGCGUUGUCCGGAAUUACUGGGUGUAAAGGGUGCGUAGGCGGCCUUGCAAGUCAGAUGUGAAAGAUCACGGCUUAACUGUGGUAAGCAUUUGAAACUGUAAGGCUUGAGUGCAGGAGAGGAGAGUGGAAUUCCUAGUGUAGCGGUGAAAUGCGUAGAUAUUAGGAAGAAUAUCAGUGGCGAAGGCGGCUCUCUGGACUGCAACUGACGCUGAGGCACGAAAGCGUGGGGAGCAAACAGGAUUAGA
RNAcentral lists this ribosomal RNA (258 nucleotides) under uncultured prokaryote. RNAcentral's name for it is "partial 16S ribosomal RNA". It matches the Rfam family "Bacterial small subunit ribosomal RNA", at positions 524 to 782 of the family's 1533-position model. The record is from RNAcentral.